Octopus sinensis (East Asian common octopus) is the source of this 1053-nucleotide long non-coding RNA. RefSeq lists it as uncharacterized. The transcript has 2 exons. NCBI's taxonomy places the organism in Eukaryota, Metazoa, Mollusca, Cephalopoda, Octopoda, Octopodidae. The record is from RefSeq and is a predicted model, not a curated record.
CAAACCCACUCACAAGAUUUUGGACAGGCCGAGGAUAUAUUACAAGACACUUGACCAAGUUCACGCGAUCCCACUAAAACCGGAAACAUGUGGCUAGGAAACAAGCUCAUUACGACACAGCCACGCCUGCACCUAUAUAUAUAUAUAUAUAUAAUAUAACACACGCAAACACGCGCUCACACACACACACAAUUACACACUCACACAUACGUAUUACUAAUUUUAGUCUUAUCACUGAUUACACAAGAAAAAAAACCCGACGUUCCCACCAUCGCUUACAAUAACAUUACUACCGCUACCACUUUAUUGUACCAAACUAGUUUGUUUUAGUAUUCCUAUAUAAAGGAGGAAAAAUUUAGGAUGUUAGCUCAUUGCAUCAUGUUCUUCUUUCACUGACGCUUGGUUUCAAAAAAUUGUUAGAAAAACGAAAACGAAAGACAGGAGGAUAUUAAUCUGGUACGUUACCACACAUCAAACCAGUCGAUACAUCCCGAUAUUGAAACUACACCGAACGGAUUAAUUGAAAAAAUAAAUCAUUGAAUCAAUUUAACUGUUUGUUUAUGUACAAUAUACAUAAAAUGAGAAUUACUACAGCCAUCACACUGGCACUUUUGCUAGUUGUUAUUCACCCAAUCAAACUGUCGUUGGCGGCCCAUACUCCAUGUAAAGCGUGUGAAAUAAAUGAUGAACUCUUAUUCCAGAAAUCCUGGGUUUGUGGUGAAUGUGGUUCCUUAUACAAGAACACUGCAAUAGAGUACUGUUGCUUUUGCGACCAGGAAUACUACGACAAAUGUCUCAUCGCCUCGGGUAUCGAUAAGGACAGAGACACUAAUCUUAACCCGCACUAACAUUUCUGAACGAUCUCCUUGUUUUUUUCUGUUGGCGGAUUUGCAGAAUUGUUAAAGCAAAGAUUAAAAUAACUCGUUGUAUUUACUUCUCUUUACGUUCUGAGUUCACAUCCUGCUAAAGUCAACUUUGUUUUCCAUCCUUCCCAGAAGCACUAGUAAAAGACUGGGAUCAAUACAUUUUAAAGAUACUCAUCUCUCCAAAUUA